CGCGGGGUGGAGCAGCUUGGUAGCUCGUCGGGCUCAUAACCCGAAGGUCGUUGGUUCAAAUCCGGCCCCCCGCAACCA
Molecule: transfer RNA, 78 nt
Filed under: Providencia stuartii
Lineage: Bacteria; Pseudomonadati; Pseudomonadota; Gammaproteobacteria; Enterobacterales; Morganellaceae
Also listed under: 3 other names
Description: tRNA-Met
Rfam family: tRNA
About the family: Transfer RNA (tRNA) molecules are approximately 80 nucleotides in length. Their secondary structure includes four short double-helical elements and three loops (D, anti-codon, and T loops).
Source: RNAcentral